Molecule: ribosomal RNA, 253 nt
Filed under: uncultured bacterium
Lineage: Bacteria
Description: partial 16S ribosomal RNA
Rfam family: Bacterial small subunit ribosomal RNA
Source: RNAcentral
UACGAAGGGGGCUAGCGUUGUUCGGAUUUACUGGGCGUAAAGCGCACGUAGGCGGAUAGUUAAGUGAGAGGUGAAAUCCCGAGGCUCAACCUCGGAACUGCCUUUCAUACUGGCUAUCUAGAGUCCGGAAGAGGUGAGUGGAACUCCUAGUGUAGAGGUGGAAGUCGUAGAUAUUAGGAAGAACACCAGUGGCGAAGGCGGCUCACUGGUCCGGUACUGACGCUGAGGUGCGAAAGCGUGGGGAGCAAACAGG